AAGAGGAUUACAGUAGGAAUCAUGGUCUUUCAGAAGAAGAAGGCUGAGGUGUGCAUCCGUACCUCCCAGUUCAAGGUGAACAAGCUGCUCAACCGCAAGCAGUUCAUCGUGGAGGUAAACCACCCGCACUGGUGCGGUACCGUGCCGACGCAGCUGAUCCGCAAGAAGCUGGCCACGCUGUACAAGGUUCCGGAUGCGAGCCAGGUGUCCCUCUUCGGCUUCAAGACGAAGUUCGGUGGCGGCAAGACCACCGGCUUCGGUCUGAUCUACGACGACCUCGCGUCCCUGAAGCGCUUCGAGCCCAACUACCGCAAGACCCGCAUGGGUUUCGGCAAGGCUCGCCUGCCGGCCCGCAAGUCGGUGAAGGAGCGCCGCAACCGCAACAAGAAGCUGCGCGGCAAGGCGAAGGGCAAGCAGGUGGCCAAGAAGAAGUAAGGCUCCGUGCCGCAGCUGCACACACUUUGCAUCUCGCCUCUACCCUCUCCCUGACCCUUCUCUCUUGUGCCUGCUUCUUCCACACGCACACGCGCGCAGCCUGCCAGUCACUCCAGUUUCUCUGGGUGCCCUGGUGGCCCUGCCUUGCCUGUAUAUCGCUAGGUGAUGGCGAGUUUUCCAAAAGGCAGUGGGUGGGGUGGGGUGGGGCGGAAUGGAAUUGGUAGCGGAGGAAGGGGGUCCGUUAGGAGGUGCGGGUGUCUGCUAUGCCAGCAGCAGCCACAGUAGUCUUGGCAGGCACUGAAGUUCCUUUCUCUUUGAUUUCUCCUCCUCUCCUGUUCUUUCUGGUUUUCUUUUGGUCUCUCCAUGUUAUUUGACCCCCCAAAACAGCAGACAGGCACACGGAUGCCCCACACGUCGCCUGGGAGACGUGGCAUCUGGAGGCACCAACACGCCAGCAGCUGCCGCUCCCGACGAGAGCGAGCCGAGAAAAAGAGUCCAGUUGGAGGGUGAGGGGCAUGGUGGUGUGCAACGCGCUCUCGGGGUGCCGUUGCGGAGGAGACAGUGCAGCAGCUCACCCCCCCCGCACGCACGUAUGCCGUGCGUCGGUGCACGUGCUGCAGGCCGAUGUGCGCUCGCCCUUCAUGUACAACGCCUGCCACCUCUUCGUCUUUUUUCGUGCUACUGUCCAGAGCACACACAUAUGUACCUCCACGUGCCAGCGAGCACAAGCUCGUGCAGCAUCACUGCACAGCUGCAAUCACAAGCCUCCUCGUCUCUGCACCCCUCCCCUCCCCCCUUCCACCGCCACCUUGCAG
This 1250-nucleotide unclassified non-coding RNA is filed under the name Leishmania donovani. RNAcentral's name for it is "gene:LdHU3.36.4170(CDS-product:40S_ribosomal_prot ein_S24e)". The record is from RNAcentral. Lineage: Eukaryota; Euglenozoa; Kinetoplastea; Trypanosomatida; Trypanosomatidae.